RNAcentral lists this ribosomal RNA (117 nucleotides) under Streptomyces qinglanensis. Lineage: Bacteria; Bacillati; Actinomycetota; Actinomycetes; Kitasatosporales; Streptomycetaceae. The record is from RNAcentral.
UUCGGUGGUCAUAGCGUGAGGGAAACGCCCGGUCACAUUCUGAACCCGGAAGCUAAGCCUUUCAGCGCCGAUGGUACUGCAUGCGGGAGCGUGUGGGAGAGUAGGACGCCGCCGAAC